UGAAAACUAAAGUUCAGCUCAACCAAACAA
Molecule: non-coding RNA, 30 nt
Filed under: Mus musculus (house mouse)
Lineage: Eukaryota; Metazoa; Chordata; Mammalia; Rodentia; Muridae
Source: RNAcentral